This is a non-coding RNA of Pelobates cultripes (western spadefoot toad), 216 nucleotides long. NCBI's taxonomy places the organism in Eukaryota, Metazoa, Chordata, Amphibia, Anura, Pelobatidae. The record is from the annotation of a GenBank genome assembly.
GCACUUGUUAACUCACCUGUACUUUCUGCUCCUGAUCCAACUAAAUGUUUACUCGUCCAUACAGACGUUUCUAUGUUUGGAUUGGGAGCAGUACUGAGCCAAGUUGGAGCAGAUGGCGGCGAACACCCAGUAGCUUACCUAAGCCGAAAACUUUUACCCAGAGAAGUAAGCUACGCCACCAUUGAAAAGGAGUGCCUGGCUGUGGUGUGGGCCAUC